UACGGAGGAUGCGAGCGUUAUCCGGAAUUAUUGGGUUUAAAGGGUGCGUAGGCGGCCAUUUAAGUCAGCGGUGAAAUUUUGCAGCUCAACUGUAAAAGUGCCUUCGAAACUGGUUUCCUUGAGUGUAGAUGAAGUAGGCGGAAUUUGUGGUGUAGCGGUGAAAUGCUUAGAUAUCACGAGGAACUCCGAUUGCGCAGGCAGCUUACUAAACUACUACUGACGCUCAGGCACGAAGGCGUGGGGAUCAAACAGGAUUAGAUACCCCUGUAGU
This 271-nucleotide ribosomal RNA is filed under the name uncultured prokaryote. RNAcentral describes it as "partial 16S ribosomal RNA". It matches the Rfam family "Bacterial small subunit ribosomal RNA", at positions 524 to 794 of the family's 1533-position model. The record is from RNAcentral.